This is a long non-coding RNA of Peromyscus eremicus (cactus mouse), 324 nucleotides long. RefSeq lists it as uncharacterized. The record is from RefSeq and is a predicted model, not a curated record. The transcript has 3 exons. Lineage: Eukaryota; Metazoa; Chordata; Mammalia; Rodentia; Cricetidae.
ACGCGAUCUGGGCAUAACAGUUUCCUGCUUGUGGUUCCUGGUAGGACCUCUCAGCUGUUCUCCACCAUGCCUGGUGCUCGCCACCAUCGUUCUCCACCACGAUGGUCUGUUUCCUUUAUAACUUACUAUCAACUUUUCAAUCACAAAUUUGAUGCCAAACAAGAGACAGUAGUUGGGAAAAAAAGAGGUGCAGACAUACAGGUAAAGGGUCUGCGGUAUAGAUCAAGCUGCCUUUGAACUUGUAAUCCACCAGUCUCAGCCUUCCAAGUGUUGUGAUGACAAGCAUACACAUCUGGCUUCCUAUUUAAAUUGAACGUUAGUGCA